AAUGGGUUUUUUUCAUGUAAGGCUAGACAGAAGAAAUCUCAGUAACUUCCUUGUGUUGUGUGUAUUCAACUGCCAGGGUUGAACCUUCCUUUAGACAGAGCAGAUUCGAAACACUCUUUUUCUGCAAUUUGCAAUGGAGACUUCAAGCGCUUUGAGGCCAAAGGCAGAAAAGGAAAUAUCUUCGUAUAAAAAACAGACAGAAUCAUUCUCAGAAACUGCUCUGUGAUGUGUGCGUUCAACUCACAGAGUUUAACUUUUCUUUUCAUUCAGCAGUUUGGAAACACUCUGUUUGUAAAGUCUGCAAGUGGAUAUAUUGGCCUCUU
This 323-nucleotide long non-coding RNA is filed under the name Homo sapiens (human). RNAcentral's name for it is "HSALNT0385598". Lineage: Eukaryota; Metazoa; Chordata; Mammalia; Primates; Hominidae. The record is from RNAcentral.